RNAcentral lists this ribosomal RNA (117 nucleotides) under Sebastes inermis (dark-banded rockfish). RNAcentral's name for it is "partial 16S ribosomal RNA". The record is from RNAcentral. RNAcentral also lists the same sequence under 2 other names. Lineage: Eukaryota; Metazoa; Chordata; Actinopteri; Perciformes; Sebastidae.
CGCCCAACAGCUAGCCCACAAACACAACAACAACCAACCACUAUUUAUAACCCCAAAUACACGAGUGUUUUAAUUAAACAAACCAUUUUCCCCCUUUAGUAUGGGCGACAGAAAAAG